Molecule: ribosomal RNA, 429 nt
Filed under: Gemmatimonadota bacterium
Lineage: Bacteria; Pseudomonadati; Gemmatimonadota
Description: Gemmatimonadetes bacterium partial 16S ribosomal RNA
Rfam family: Bacterial small subunit ribosomal RNA
Source: RNAcentral
UAGGGAAUCUUCGGCAAUGGACGAAAGUCUGACCGAGCAACGCCGCGUGAGUGAAGAAGGUUUUCGGUUCGUAAUACUCUGUUGUUAGAGAAGAACAAGGACUUUAGUAACUGAACGUCCCCUGACGGUAUCUAACCAUAAAGCCACGGCUAACUACGUGCCAGCAGCCGCGGUAAUACGUAGGUGGCAAGCGUUGUCCGGAUUUAUUGGUCGUAAAGCGAGCGCAGGCGGUUUCUUAAGUCUGAUGUGAAAGCCCCCGGCUCAACCGGGGAGGGUCAUUGGAAACUGGGAGACUUGAGUGCAGAAGAGGAGAGUGGAAUUCCAUGUGUAGCGGUGAAAUGCGUAGAUAUAUAGAGGAACACCAGUGGCGAAGGCGGCUCUCUGGUCUGUAACUGACGAUGAGGCUCGAAAGCGUGGGGAGCAAACAGG